RNAcentral lists this ribosomal RNA (254 nucleotides) under uncultured bacterium. Its description in RNAcentral is "partial 16S ribosomal RNA". It matches the Rfam family "Bacterial small subunit ribosomal RNA", at positions 524 to 776 of the family's 1533-position model. The record is from RNAcentral.
CACGGGGGGAGCAAGCGUUGUUCGGAAUUACUGGGCGUAAAGGGCGCGUAGGCGGCCUUCUAAGUCUUGUGUGAAAUCCCUCGGCUCAACUGAGGAACUGCACGGGAUACUGGAUGGCUUGAGUUCGGGAGAGGGAAGCGGAAUUCCGGGUGUAGCGGUGAAAUGCGUAGAUAUCCGGAGGAACACCGGUGGUGAAGGCGGCUUCCUGGACCGAUUACUGACGCUGAGGCGCGAAAGCUAGGGGAGCAAACGGG